GACGAACGCUGGCGGCGUGCUUAACACAUGCAAGUCGAACGGUGAAGCGCCUUCCUUUUUGGUGGGUGUGGAUGAGUGGCGAACGGGUGAGUAACACGUGAGUAACCUGCCCCCUUCUUCUGGAUAACCGCAUGAAAGUGUGGCUAAUACGGGAUAUUCUGGGUCUGUCGCAUGAUGGGUCUGGGAAAGAUAUUGUUUCGGUGGGGGAUGGGCUCGCGGCCUAUCAGCUUGUUGGUGGGGUGAUGGCCUACCAAGGCGGUGACGGGUAGCCGGCCUGAGAGGGUGGACGGUCACACGGGGGCUGAGACACGGCCCAGACUCCUACGGGAGGCAGCAGUGGGGAAUAUUGCACAAUGGGCGCAAGCCUGAUGCAGCGACGCCGCGUGAGGGAUGGAGGCCUUCGGGUUGUGAACCUCUUUCGCCAGUGAAGCAGGCCUGCCUCGUUUGUGGGUGGGUUGACGGUAGCUGGAGAAGAAGCGCCGGCUAACUACGUG
Molecule: ribosomal RNA, 494 nt
Filed under: uncultured bacterium
Lineage: Bacteria
Description: partial 16S ribosomal RNA
Rfam family: Bacterial small subunit ribosomal RNA
Source: RNAcentral